Molecule: long non-coding RNA, 441 nt
Organism: Herpailurus yagouaroundi (jaguarundi)
Lineage: Eukaryota; Metazoa; Chordata; Mammalia; Carnivora; Felidae
Exons: 2
Source: RefSeq, a predicted model, not a curated record
GAAGGCAGGGCUGGGGGGGCCCUCAGAAGCCUUGUGCCCCAGCUCCACUUUGGACGCCGUCGUCUGGACCUGGUUCACAGCCGGUGCUCUUGCACUGGCUGCUCAGGUCAAGAGUUCCUUGCAGUAUCUGUUACAUGGGCUCUCACAGAAAAACUGCCCAGAAGGGGACACAGGACACAGUCAAUCCUCUUCUGUAACAGGUAAGAGCGGCCCAGGAAUCAGGUGUAUGUGCUCAUAGGUCUAGAGGCACAUGAAGUCACCGGCUAGGGCAACCCCAUCUUGUCCACCAAGUUAACAGCAAUCACCAGAACCCCCUCCCUCUUCUUAACAUCUUACUCAUAGGUAACUUAAAAGGUAUAUGCAAUUUAAUAUAAAUAUUGCUUAGGCUAGACUGCAAACUUCACACAGAUUGUAAAAUAAAAUGUGAUUUUAGAAAAACCA